UCCCCUCUUCUUCGUCUCUCUCUCGCGCGUGGAUGACCCGACGCCGACGGCUUCCCCGACGAUCUCGGUCUCGCCGCGUCACCUGAGGAACGUCGCCGGAUCUCAACGGUACCGACCAUCUUUGGCAGAGCGAUCGUCUCCUUGGUCAUUUUUUGCGCGCAUCGGUGGUGGUUCGACAUCUAGGGCAUCGCGAGGUACUGGACUCGCGUCGUCCCCAGCCGAUCGACUCCCGACAUUCCUCCUCAUCGAUCGAUUCAUAGGAGAGUGAUCCUUACCACCACAGAUAGGAUCAGAUCGGGCAAUACCAACUGGAGGCGACCGAUCGAGAGGAAGGCAUCGAAUCAGCAUACCGUGGACCUUCCCUCUUGCCGUUCACUGCCUCUCCACUUCUUAUAGCUGCUAAGGCUUCGGGUGAAGGGGUGGAGGGUUUGUUGAGGUAGCAGGUAAAUGAAUCAAGGAUGCUUGGAGAGUCCUAGCUGCCAGCCCCACUACACCCUUGAGGACGGAUUUCUUUUCAGUCUUGUUUCUGUUCGGUGGUAUAUUGAUUUUGUAUUUUUUUUUAAUUUUUUUAUAUAAGCUGAUGUGGGUUUGGAGUCUAGUUCGGUGGUUAUAGGUUUUGUGGUUAAUGACUUUGUUAC
Long non-coding RNA from Zingiber officinale, 638 nucleotides. RefSeq lists it as uncharacterized. The transcript has 3 exons. Lineage: Eukaryota; Viridiplantae; Streptophyta; Magnoliopsida; Zingiberales; Zingiberaceae. The record is from RefSeq and is a predicted model, not a curated record.